AUUGAACGCUGGCGGCAUGCCUUACACAUGCAAGUCGAACGGCAGCACGGGAGCAAUCCUGGUGGCGAGUGGCGAACGGGUGAGUAAUAUAUCGGAACGUGCCCAGUCGUGGGGAUAACGUAGCGAAAGCUACGCUAAUACCGCAUACGAUCUAUGGAUGAAAGCGGGGGAUCGCAAGACCUCGCGCGAUUGGAGCGGCCGAUAUCAGAUUAGGUAGUUGGUGAGGUAAAGGGCUCACCAAGCCGACGAUCUGUAGCUGGUCUGAGAGGACGACCAGCCACACUGGGACUGAGACACGGUCCAGACUCCUACGGGAGGCAGCAGUGGGGAAUUUUUGGGACAAUGGACGCAAGUCUGAUCCAGCAAUGCCGCGUGCAGGAUGAAGGCCU
Molecule: ribosomal RNA, 389 nt
Filed under: uncultured bacterium
Lineage: Bacteria
Description: bacterial SSU rRNA
Rfam family: Bacterial small subunit ribosomal RNA
Source: RNAcentral